GCCAAUAUAGUUAAGUGGUAUAACAGAUGCUUUGUAACCAUCUAUCUCCAGUUCGAUUCUGGAUAUUGGCUCCA
RNAcentral lists this transfer RNA (74 nucleotides) under Aeromonas phage 4L372D. RNAcentral's name for it is "Aeromonas phage 4_L372D tRNA-Thr". It matches the Rfam family "tRNA". Rfam says of the family: Transfer RNA (tRNA) molecules are approximately 80 nucleotides in length. RNAcentral also lists the same sequence under 2 other names. The record is from RNAcentral. Lineage: Duplodnaviria; Heunggongvirae; Uroviricota; Caudoviricetes.